GAUGAACGCUAGCGGCAGGCCUAACACAUGCAAGUCGAGGGAGAAGCCCUUUCGGGGGCAGAAACCGGCGCACGGGUGCGUAACGCGUAUGCAACCUACCUCUCACAGGGGGAUAGCCCGAAGAAAUUUGGAUUAAUACCCCAUAAUAUUAUUGGAUGGCAUCAUUUGAUAAUUAAAACUGCGGUGGUGAAAGAUGGGCAUGCGUCCUAUUAGCUAGUUGGAGUGGUAACGGCACCCCAAGGCUACGAUAGGUAGGGGUCCUGAGAGGGAGAUCCCCCACACUGGUACUGAGACAGGGACCAGACUCCUACGGGAGGCAGCAGUGAGGAAUAUUGGUCAAUGGUCGGAAGACUGAACCAGCCAUGCCGCGUGCAGGAAGAAUGCCUUAUGGGUUGUAAACUGCUUUUAUAUGGGAAGAAUAAGGCGUACGUGUACGUUGAUGACGGUACCAUAUGAAUAAGCAUCGGCUAACUCCGUG
Molecule: ribosomal RNA, 478 nt
Filed under: uncultured bacterium
Lineage: Bacteria
Description: partial 16S ribosomal RNA
Rfam family: Bacterial small subunit ribosomal RNA
Source: RNAcentral